AGCCCUGUUCUGGGAACAGCUGAUUCCAAAGGCUGUAUAUGCGACUCUUCAUUCUGAUAAUGCGCGUCAUUCAUUUCCUUUUUAACCUAACAAAUUUAAACAUAGCACGUGCGACCUAACGUAGAGCAAAAAGUUGUUUAACUUGUGUUUGCAUUGUACAUGAAAAUAGAAACUAAACUGUGGUUAUUCUUAGGAGUGAUCGGUCUAUCGUCAGAGCUGUAAUGGGUUCCUCAGAUUAUAUUGCUCCUUGUUUACUCAUUGUGGCUCUAUUUUUAAUCAAUGCGGGGGUACUUGUCUACAUCUUGAGGGCUCGUAAAAAGAUACCGGCUCGGGUUAGU
Long non-coding RNA from Leptinotarsa decemlineata (Colorado potato beetle), 338 nucleotides. NCBI's taxonomy places the organism in Eukaryota, Metazoa, Arthropoda, Insecta, Coleoptera, Chrysomelidae. The record is from RefSeq and is a predicted model, not a curated record.